Molecule: ribosomal RNA, 775 nt
Filed under: Dorylaimus aff. stagnalis 8 JS-2018
Lineage: Eukaryota; Metazoa; Nematoda; Enoplea; Dorylaimida; Dorylaimidae
Description: SSU rRNA
Rfam family: Eukaryotic small subunit ribosomal RNA
Source: RNAcentral
UUUACUAGAAUAUAGUUAUCCUACUUGGAUAACUGUGGCAAUUCUAGAGCUAAUACAUGCAAAAAAGCUCUGCCCGUAAGGAACGAGCGCAUUUAUUAGAAUAAAAACCAAUCGGGUUUCGGCCCGUAAUUUGGUGAAUCUGAAUAACUUUGCCAAUCGCACAGUCCUAGUACUGGCGAUGUAUCUUUCAAGUGUCUGCCUUAUCAACUUUCGAUGGUAGGUUAUACGCCUACCAUGGUAGUAACGGGUAACGGAGAAUAAGGGUUCGACUCCGGAGAGGGAGCCUGAGAAACGGCUACCACAUCCAAGGAAGGCAGCAGGCGCGCAAAUUACCCACUUCCAGAACGGAGAGGUAGUGACGAAAAAUAACGAGACAGUCCUCUUCGAGGUCUGUCAUCGGAAUGGGUACAAUUUAAAUCCUUUAACGAGGAUCUAUUGGAGGGCAAGUCUGGUGCCAGCAGCCGCGGUAAUUCCAGCUCCAAUAGCGUAUAUUAAAGUUGUUGCGGUUAAAACGCUCGUAGUUGGAUCUGCGGCCUCGGAGAACGGUCCCCCGAAAGGGUGGUCACUGUCUCUCCUAGCCUAAAUUCGAGUCGUCUCUAAGUGCUCUUUACCGAGUGCUUAGAGUGACUAGAACGUUUACUUUGAAAAAAUUAGAGUGCUUAAAGCAGGCGUAAUAGCCUGAAUAAGGUGCAUGGAAUAAUGGAAUAGGACCUCGGUUCUAUUUUGUUGGUUUUCGGAACCUGAGGUAAUGAUUAAGAGGAACAGACGGGGGCAU